RNAcentral lists this ribosomal RNA (357 nucleotides) under uncultured bacterium. RNAcentral's name for it is "bacterial SSU rRNA". It matches the Rfam family "Bacterial small subunit ribosomal RNA", at positions 917 to 1271 of the family's 1533-position model. The record is from RNAcentral.
GGGCUCACACAAGCGGUGGAGGAUGUGGCUUAAUUCGAGGAUACGCGAAGAACCUUACCUAGACUUAACAUGCUUGGGAACGUCUGUGAAAGCAGAAAGUGCCUUUCGGGGAACCUUGCGUAGGUGCUGCAUGGCUGUCGUCAGCUCGUGUCGUGAGAUGUCGGGUUAAGUCCCUUAACGAGCGAAACCCUUGUCCUUAGUUGCCAGCACGUUAUGGUGGGGACUCUAAGGAGACUGCCGGUGUUAAACCGGGGGAAGGUGGGGAUGACGUCAAGUCCUCAUGGCCUUUAUGUCUAGGGCUGCACACGUCCUACAAUGGUAGGUACAGAGAGCAGCCAAUGCGCGAGCAUGAGCAAA